This 513-nucleotide long non-coding RNA is filed under the name Panax ginseng (ginseng). RNAcentral describes it as "long non-coding RNA (PGIN_LNC009106)". Lineage: Eukaryota; Viridiplantae; Streptophyta; Magnoliopsida; Apiales; Araliaceae. The record is from RNAcentral.
UCCUUGAAGCUCUUGAAGAGCCAUGGCCAAGAGCCAUGGCCUCCCUCUUCUCCAAGCCGCCACCUCUCUCUUUUUCUCCUCUAGGUUGCAAGUAGAAGUGAAUGAUUGUUGUUUUGGGUCAUUAGGUUGAGCAUUUAAUAGCUGAAAUUUGUCCAAAAUUCGUGUCUGGCGCUGCGGCGCCAUGAUUUGGCUUGAACGGGGCGCUGCGGCGCGAAAAAGGGGCUAGGCUACUGCUAAGUGGCGCUGCGGCGCCGCAAAUACACUAGCAAGUCGCGCUGCAGCGCCGGGCCAUUUUUUGCUUGGACAUCUGUUGGGAAAAUGGCCAUAACUUCUUUAUACGAACUCCGAUUGAGGCGAUUCAAGAUGAUCCGGAAAGAGGAGAAGUAGAUCUACAACUUUCAUUCUUUGAGGUCUUCGAAAUAAUGGCUAGAGCAAUGCUCAAAUUGGACUUGAAGUGACUGCUAUGCAAAUAGCAAUUGGUAGUUUCCAGAUUUGACACCUGUUGGGAAAAUG